UUAGGGAUCUUCCGCAAUGGACGGAAGUCUGACGGAGCGACGCCGCUUGGAGGAGGAAGCCCCUCGGGGUGUAAACUCCUGAACUGGGGACGAAAGCCCCGUGUAGGGGGAUGACGGUACCCAGGUAAUAGCGCCGGCCAACUCCGUG
RNAcentral lists this ribosomal RNA (148 nucleotides) under uncultured Thermus sp. RNAcentral describes it as "partial 16S ribosomal RNA". It matches the Rfam family "Bacterial small subunit ribosomal RNA", at positions 355 to 507 of the family's 1533-position model. Lineage: Bacteria; Thermotogati; Deinococcota; Deinococci; Thermales; Thermaceae. The record is from RNAcentral.